GACGAGGGGUCCUAGCGUUGUUCGGAAUCACUGGGCGUAAAGCGGAUGUAGGUGGAUUAGCAAGUCAGAUGUGAAAUCCCGGGGCUCAACCCCGGAACUGCAUUUGAUACUGCUGAUCUUGAGUACUGGAGAGGGUAGUAGAAUUCCUGGUGUAGUGGUGAAAUACGUAGAUAUCAGGAGGAAUACCGGUGGCGAAGGCGGCUACCUGGCCAGAUACUGACACUCAGAUCCGAAAGCGUGGGGAUCAAACAGG
RNAcentral lists this ribosomal RNA (253 nucleotides) under uncultured bacterium. Its description in RNAcentral is "partial 16S ribosomal RNA". It matches the Rfam family "Bacterial small subunit ribosomal RNA", at positions 524 to 776 of the family's 1533-position model. The record is from RNAcentral.